Molecule: ribosomal RNA, 390 nt
Filed under: uncultured bacterium
Lineage: Bacteria
Description: bacterial SSU rRNA
Rfam family: Bacterial small subunit ribosomal RNA
Source: RNAcentral
GACGAACGCUGGCGGCGUGCUUAACACAUGCAAGUCGAGCGGUAAGGCCCUUUCGGGGGUACACGAGCGGCGAACGGGUGAGUAACACGUGGGUGACCUGCCCUCAGCUCUGGGAUAAGCCUGGGAAACCGGGUCUAAUACUGGAUAUGACUCCAUGACGCAUGUUGUGGGGUGGAAAGCCUUGUGCGGCUGAGGAUGGGCCCGCGGCCUAUCAGCUUGUUGGUGGGGNGAUGGCCUACCAAGGCGACGACGGGUAGCCGGCCUGAGAGGGCGACCGGCCACACUGGGACUGAGACACGGCCAGACUCCUACGGGAGGCAGCAGUGGGGAAUCUUGCGCAAUGGGCGAAAGCCUGACGCAGCGACGCCGCGUGAGGGAUGACGGCCUGGU